Molecule: ribosomal RNA, 423 nt
Filed under: uncultured eukaryote
Lineage: Eukaryota
Description: SSU rRNA
Rfam family: Eukaryotic small subunit ribosomal RNA
Source: RNAcentral
CAAUAGCGUAUAUUAAAGUUGUUGCAGUUAAAAAGCUCGUAGUUGGAUUUCUGGCAGGAGGGACCGGUCACGCACUCUGUGUGUGAACUUGGCUCCCUCUGGCCAUCCUUGGGGAGAUCGUGUUUGGCAUUAAGUUGUCGGGCAUGGGAUACCCAUCGUUUACUGUGAAAAAUUAGAGUGUUUAAAGCAGGCUUAUGCCGUUGAAUAUAUUAGCAUGGAAUAAUAAGAUAGGACUUUGGAACUAUUUUGUUGGUUUGCGUUACAAAGUAAUGAUUAAUAGGGACAGUUGGGGGUAUUCGUAUUUCGUUGUCAGAGGUGAAAUUCUUGGAUUUCCGAAAGACGAACUACUGCGAAAGCAUUUACCAAGGAUGUUUUCAUUAAUCAAGAACGAAAGUUAGGGGAUCGAAGAUGAUUAGAUACCAU